ACUACUUCAUAUUUUUAAAGAGAAGCCCUCUAAGUUUUAUGUAUCAUUUCCAAAUGUCUAAAUGAUCAUAUCUAAAUCUUAGAUUCCCAGGCUAGGGGUUGAAACAGAGCUUAGCUGCUGGCCUACGACACAGCCACAGCAACGUGGGAUCAGAGCCACCUGAGUGACCUACACCACAGCUCACAGCAACACCAGAUCCUUAACCCACUAAGCGAGGACAGGGAUCGAACCUGCAUCCUCAUUGAUGCUAGUUGGGUUUGCUAACCACUGAGCCACGGUGGGAACUCCUCUCUAAUUCAUUUUUUUUUAAAAUUGGUUGAAUCCUCCAUUUAGAUCCCUCAACUCAGAAACUGCACAUGUGGGUUUAAUCUCUAAUACUGAGUCUAGCCUUUGAUUCAAGUUAUGUAUAACUUGAGUCCUUCAGGUAGUUCCCAGUAAAGGGUAAGCACUCAAGUGACUUGUUAAAUGGCAAACUCGAAGUAUGUUUUUAAUUCAGUUACUUCUUAUAGGUCUGGCUUAUUAUCACAGCUGCUCAAUGACACUUUCUAAGCAAGCUCCUUUGAACACUCUUGUAGAAAUCCUUGAUUAUUCAAGGAUUAUAUAAUUAUUCAGAAACAUCACCUUCAAUUUCUCUUAAUCACUGCCAUCUACUGACCUGCCAACACUUUCCCUUUUUUUUUUUGUUUUGUUUUUUUUGUUUUGUUUUGUUUUUUGUCUUUUGUCUUUUUAAGGCUGUACCCAUGACAUAUGGAGGUUUCCAGGCUAGGGGUCAAAUCCGAGCCGUACCUGCAGGCCUAAGCCACAGCCACAACAAUGCAGGAUUCAAGCCGCAUCUGCGACUUACACCACAGCUCACAGCAAUGCCAGAUCCUUAACCCACUGAGCAAGGCCAGGGACCGAACCUGUGUCUUCAUGGAUGCUAGUCAGCUUUGUUUCCACUGAGCCAUGAUGGGAAAUACUGACACUUACCUGUUAAGCAAAAUUUUAGCGCCAGACAUCAUUUCCUUUAACCAAACUCUUGUCUAGAAGAUGAGAUUCGAAGCAGGCAGACUGGGAUAAAACCUGGCCUUUCCCUCCAUAAUGAUAAGCAAGGGAUCCAACAACAUGCAGCUUCCAUUUCACUAUCUGUCAGAUGAAAAUAAUAAGGAUAACACAUUAAUAUAGCUCUGGCUCAAUUCCAGGCACUGUUUUAAUGGCCAUACUUGUAUUACAUUGUUUCAUAUUCACAAUAACGCUAAGCUAUGAUUUUCUUCAUUCUUCAGAUGAGAAGACUGAGACACAAAAAGUUUAGGUAAUAUUUCUUUGGGCCAUGAUAAUAAUAGAUGCAAAGCAGUUGUGAUGUUUACAAAACACAUUUAUAGGUAUUGGUUAUUUCCUCCCUUUUCCCCGGUUUUAUUGAGAAAUAAUUGACACAUAGCAUUGUAUUAAUUUUAUCUGUGCAACAUGAUGAUUUAAUAUAUUAGAAAAUGGUUAUCACAGUAAGUUUAGUUAACAUCCAUCACCUCACAGUUAAUUUUUUUUUCUUAUGAUGAAUAGUUUUAAGAUCUGCCACUCUCUUAGCAAUUUUCAAAGAUAAUAAUAUUAAAAUUAAAAAUAUUAAUUAUAGUCACCAUGCUGUACAUUACAUCCCCAGAACAUAUUCAUCUUACAGAUGGAAAUUUGUACCUUUGGCCACCUUCACCCAUUAUUAUUUUUAUUAGCAGUAUGAUGGAGAGAAAAAGUGGCUUUUAAAAAAUCACAACUACUGCAGCCGCUUCUGCUCCUGUGGAUGUGGCAUGCUUCCUUUCUUGAAAGGGCUAUUUAGGAAAAUGAUGGAAAGUCUCAGGGUCUAAAUGUUGAAGCUUCUGAGAGAUGAUUUGCAAGAUGCAUCCAGGCAAAGAAUGAUGCCGAACCAUUAUGCAAAUGAGUGGAAAGGUUUGGAGGGUCCAGAGGAGACUGAGUGGAGGGACUGAGGGGCCAGGAUAAAGGAAGGAGAAGGAGAGGGAGAGGAGAGGAGCAAAGAAGAGCAGCCUGCGAAGAGACGGGAAGAACAAGGAGACAGUGAGCUUGCCCUCAGCAGGACAGGUGGGAGGACAGCAAUUCCUGGGAAAUCAGACCAUAAGCACACUCACCUCUGUGACUGCUGAUACUUGAUUGGUUGUCCUUGCAAAAGCUGCUUCAGGGAAGCAGAAGGAAGUGGUCUGUGUCCCGUGGGCAGAUGAGGAGCAGGGAGAGUAAUAACUAACACCCACAGAGCUUUUCCUAGGGCUUUCUGCUUGCUUAAUGCCAACCACAACUUUUGAGGAGGUGUUCUAUUAGCCCAUUUUACAGAUGGGGAAACUAAGACAGAGUGGAUAAGGGAAUUGCCCAAAGUUAACCAGCUACAAGGGGCACCAUAUUUUAUGUGCUCAACUUCUAUGUUAUCCUGAAAGAAGAGUCAAACAGCAAGAGAGGAGAUACUUGUGAAAAUGUGGAUUCAAAGAAAGGAGACACAUAAGCUGGUACAACCACAUGUAAGCUGGUACAACCACAUGUAAGCUGGUACAACCACAGUGGAGGUACCUUAGAAAACUAUACACAGAACUACCAUAUGACCCAGCAGCGCCACUUUUGGGCAUAUAUCCAGACAAAACUUUCCUUAAAAAAGACACAAGCACCCACAUGCUCACUGCAGCACUCUUCACAAUAGCCAAGACAUGGAAACAACCCAAAUGUCCACCAACAGAUGAUUGGAUUAGGAAGAUGUGGUAUAUAUACACAAUGGAAUACUACUCGGCCAUAAAAAAGAACAAAAUAAUGCCAUUUGCAGCAACAUGGAUGGAAAUAGAGACUCUCAUACUGAGUGAAGUAAGUCAGAAAGAGAAAGACAGAUCCAACAUGAUAUCACUUAUAUCUGGAAUCUAAUAUACAGCAUCAACGAAACUUUCCACAGAAAAGAAAAUCAUGGACUUGGAGAAUAGACUUGUGGUUGCCAAGGGGGAGGGAGAGGGAGUGGGAUGGAUUGGGUGUUUGGGGUUAAUGGAUGCAAACUAUUGCUUUUGGAAUGGAUUAGCAAUGAGAUCCUGCUAUGUAGCACUGGGAACUAUGUCUAGUCACUUAUGAUGGGGCAUGAUAAUGGGAGAAAAAAAGAGGAAUGUAUACAGGUAUGUGUGAUUGGUUCACCUUGCUGUACAGUAGAAAAUUGACAGAACAUUGUAAACCAGCUAUAAUGGAAAAAAUACAAAUCAUAAUUCAAAAAAAAAAAAAAAAAAAAAAGAUCCGGCAUUGCUGUGGCUGUGGCCUAGGCCUCAGCUGCAGCUCUGAUUCAACCUCUGGUCUGAGACCUUCCAUAUGCCACAGGCGUGGCUGUAAAACAAACCAAUGUGUGUGCGUGUGUGUGUGUGUGUGUGUGUGUGUGUACACACACAUAUAGAUAUAGAUAUAGAUAUAGAUAUCAGGUAAUACACCCAAGUAGUGAUUGCUGCUUCCCUAAGUGUGGGGUGGGAAGAAGGUACUAACACCACAGAAGCCUCCUAUGUACCAGAAUAGACUUUGCUUAAAGGAUGUUCUGAACAAGGAAGGGAAGAGUUCAUUUUGUUAAGCAGACGCCUAUGAACUGCUUUCAAAGACACAGCUAAUACCUAGAUCUAAAAGGAGAAAAUGGUAGAGCAUUCAUUAGGGAGGCUUCGAUUUUAUCUGAUCAUGGGAGAAAAGAGAGACAAAACUAUUACAUUGUUUUGAACUUGGUUGAUUUGUGUAACACACACUGCUUAUGUUCUUAAGGAGACAAAGAUCCACAUGAUGGAUACUUUUUUCAUAUUGAUUUGGUAAGCAGGGGGCAUUUCAAUUACCUUUAAGAAAUGAUUUAACUUACAACAGUGGAAAAAAAAAUCUUUGAAUGAAAAUGCUAUCCAUCAAAGGCAAAAAAGUUAAGGCUUGUCAUAGAGGGAAAGGAGACAAGCAUGAUCAAAAUGCAAUGUAUUUAACCCUUAAAGAGAUCAGGCAAUCCAGGAUGUGUUGUCUAACUUCUCUUUUUUUUUUUUUUUUUUUUUUUUUUUUUUUGCUAGUAAUCCACUGAGCAAGUGCUGAAAGCUUAUUUUUUACUGAUGACCCAUUAUCAAUUUUGCCAGCAUAAAAGCAGACUCUUUUUUUUUUCUUUCCUGCUGCGUCUGGUCUUGUUUCCCAGGUAUGACAGUGCAAACUGGUGCGCAAAGAAGGCUCACCCAUGAAUGAUGAGUUCCUUGCAAUAUUGAACAUCAAGGGUUACUUUCCAAAUCCCCUUUUCUUUCAUCAGGAGUUCAUUGCAUUUGCACUUAGCAUACACUUUGCAUCUGCAUUUUCUGUCCUGGAAAUUAUACUCAUGAAGCAACUACAAGAGGCAGCUGAGCUGAGGGAUUGGCAUAUGUAGGGAGUAUUUACAGAGAAUCAAAUCAGGUGACCUCAAAAAAGAUGAGCUUCUUUUAGGAGGAAUUCUGUUAGACUGAUUGUGAGGGGCUGAACUCUAGGCAGAAGGGAGGAAAGAGACUCAAAGUGAGAAAAAGGCACUUAUGGAAGCUCAGAAUUAAACAAAGUAGUCUUUUUGAGUAUUAAGAAACAAAAACAAUGGAUCCAGAGCCAUGGAAUGGUGCCCAGUGGCCCCAAAUGCUCAUUUGCUUUUAAGGUUGUUUGGGCUUUAAUUAGUGAAGCCUUGCCCAGAGGGAUUAAAAAUCUUGAACUUUGAGAAAGAACAAUUUUGCAGGGCCAAAUGGGAAGAAGGCUGAGUGGAUGCAGAUGGCAGCGCAGAGCUCUCAGUUUGUUUAGUCAAGGAUUAGAACUCUAAGCUCUAAGGCGGGGCUGGUAGUUUUAUUUAAAAGAAAAGUUCAGACCACUUUAUGCUGCUGUAAGCAUGAGAUCAAACUUCCCAUGAAGAAACUUACAGAAAUGAUGUUUCUCUUUUCAUUGUUUUAAUCCUGUUGCAUUUAUCAAGAAUCAGUAGCUCAUUUUUCCCUCCACACUCAGUGUCCAGAAGCAUAUUGAAUGUCAUACGGUUUCUCCAAAAUGCAAGCUAUUUUGUGUCUGAGCCCUCUGCAUAAAACACCCUUCUCUGUUCUUACCUGGUAAUCUCCUGUGCAUCCUUCAUAAUUUUGUUCCUGCAUACCCUUUUCUCUUUGAACGGUCCCUGAAUUUUGUGUCUUUUUCUUAAAUUUAUUUCUGUGGUUACACUUACCAUGUUGUGUUGCAAUUAUUUGGUACAUAGAAUACAUGCAAAAGAGGAGUUCCUGCUGUGGCUCAGGGGAAAUGAAUCUGACUAGCAUUCAUGAGGACGCAGGUUCGAUCCCUGGCCUCACUCAGUGGGUUAAGGAUCCAGUGUUGCCAUGAGCUGUGGUGUAGGUUGCAGACGCGGCUCGGACCCCAAGUUGCUGUGGCUGUGGUGUAGGCCAACUGCUACAGUUUCGAUUCGACCCCUAGCCUGGGAACCUCCAUAUGCUGUGGGUGCAGCCCUAAACGAACAAACAAACAAAAAGAAUACAUGCAAAAGAAUGCAUGCAGCACAUAUGUACAUUUUAAGUAAUAAUAAUAAUUAAAAAAAAAAAGUUUAGGUACCAUACCAACAGCUCAAGAAAGAGAAUGUUAUCAGUAACUUGAAAUUUCGUUCAUGACUCACCCAUCCCUCUGCCUGCUUACCCUGCAGAGGCAAUUGCUGAAGAAGAAUUAUAUAUUUUUAUUUUAUCACAUAUGUACGUAUCUUUAAACAACAUAUGGUUGAGUGUUGCUUAUUUUGAACCUAAUAUAAAGAGAAUUAUUUAUGUUUUUAGGAUUCAUCAAUUUUGUUGAAGGAAAUUUGCAUUCUUAAUGGGGUAAAAAUUGGUUUUUGGAGUACAGAAAAUUCUUACUCUUUUAAUGUAUAAAGCAAACAUUACAUACAGUAUAUAAAUAUACUGUUUGUCUAUGGUAUUAAAAUGUUAUAGGAACCAUUAGGGAAAAAAAAUGUCUACAAAUACUUCUUAGGGGGUUGAUAAUGAAAAAAACAUUGAGAACCACUCUGUGGUUCAUAUAUUUUUACUGCUGUAGAGUAUUUCAUUAGAUGAUUAGCCCAUAAUUUAUCUAUUAUAAUGUUGAUGUAUUUUUUUUUUAAUUAAAACAGCGCUGUGCCUACAAAUUCAGUAACUUAGAUGAAAUGGACCAGUUCCUUGAAAGACACAAUAUCCUAAAACUCACAUAAGAAGAAACAGACAGUUUUGGAGUUCCCAUUGUGGCUCAGCAGGUUAAGAACUCAACUAGUAUCCUUGAAGAUGUGGAUUUGAUCCCUGGUCUUAUUCAGUGGGUUAAAGAUCCAGCAUGGCCACAAGCUCUGGUGUAGGUCACAGAUGAAGCUUGGAUCUGGCAUUGCUGUGGCUGUGGUAUAUGCCAGCAGCUGCAGCUCUAAUUUGACCCCUAAUCUGGGAACUUCCAUAUGCUACAUGUGCAGACCUAAAAAGAAAAAGAAAAAGAAAAA
Molecule: long non-coding RNA, 6433 nt
Filed under: Sus scrofa (pig)
Lineage: Eukaryota; Metazoa; Chordata; Mammalia; Artiodactyla; Suidae
Description: lncRNA (ENSSSCG00060052323.1)
Source: RNAcentral